RNAcentral lists this ribosomal RNA (630 nucleotides) under Pezizaceae sp. RNAcentral describes it as "partial large subunit ribosomal RNA". It matches the Rfam family "Eukaryotic large subunit ribosomal RNA", at positions 136 to 784 of the family's 3401-position model. The record is from RNAcentral. Lineage: Eukaryota; Fungi; Ascomycota; Pezizomycetes; Pezizales; Pezizaceae.
GCCCGAGUUGUAGUCUGCAGAGGUGUAUUCGGGUGUGGCUUUGGCUUAAGUUCCUUGGAACAGGACGUCAUAGAGGGUGAGAACCCCGUUAACGGCCUUUGCUCUAUGCUCAUGUGAAUCUCCUUCAACGAGUCGAGUUGUUUGGGAAUGCAGCUCUAAAUGGGUGGUAAAUUCCAUCUAAAGCUAAAUACUGGCAAGAGACCGAUAGCGCACAAGUAGAGUGAUCGAAAGAUGAAAAGAACUCUGGACAGAGAGUUAAAUAGUACGUGAAAUUGUUGAAAGGGAAGCACUUCCGACCAGACGCACUUGCAGCCGAUCAAUCCUCAUUCUUGAGGGUGCACUCGGUUGUUUGUGGGUCAGCAUCAGUCAUGGUGGUAGGAAAAAGACUGAGGGAAUGUGACUCCUCUCGGGGAGUGUUAUAGCCCUUGGUGCAAUGCUGUCUGCUAUGACUGAGGACCGCGCUUCGGCGAGGAUGUUGGCAUAAUGGUCGUAAGUGACCCGUCUUGAAACACGGACCAAGGAGUCUAACAUCUAUGCGAGUGUUUGGGUAUUCAAACCCUUAUGCGGAAUGAAAGUAAAUGGAGGUGGGAACCGCAAGGUGCACCAUCGACCGAUCCUGAUGUUUUCGGA